CUUUACACCAAAUCCCCAGUCCCCCAAGAGAAGAAACCCCAUGGGACCGGGCCACACGGUGUUUCCACAGUGUGUCACGCUACAAAGAUAUUCUCCCAAGGCUGGUGGGUGACCCAACACCAAUCAGCCCACCCUGUGAUCAGCCCGUCACCCCAGGAGUCUUUUACCUUGGUGGCAAGCCUUCCCAUAGCCUCCAGGGGCCCAAACUGCACCUUUCUUAUCUAAAUGCACAGAGAAACAAGUAGCCCCUGCCAUAAUAACCAUUCACUGCAGCCGCUGCCAGCUACCUCCCAGUGACUUUGGGGAUGGGCUUUCGCCAGUGACUUGUCAGCCAUGGCACAUGAAGGUCAAGUUCUCUCUCAUAGUACAAAGUAAUCCCUGGAACGCGCAAAGCCAAAGAGAUCAGGUAACGCAAUGCAAAGGACAGCAGAGCUUUCGGCCUGGGAGGGGCCUGCCCAGGACUCUCGAGACUCCGUGAGAAAGGCAGAAGGCCCCCAAAACAGGGUGUGCGUGGCCGUUUUCUGUGUUCCUCAAGAGGUCUCAGGCUGCUAGAAGUCUCCUAUGUGGUACUGAAGAUGGUACAAGGCAGGAGAAGCACAAGCAGAGGAAAACGGAAGGCGUCACAGAAGAGCCGGUUCUCAAGAUUUUAGGCUUUCUAAAAGGGGUUUCAGUCGACUGAAAAAAUCCCAGCAACAGGAUCCCGGAAAGAAGUGUCAGCACUUAGGGAAGCUGAGGCAGGAGGAUCACUUGAG
Molecule: long non-coding RNA, 752 nt
Filed under: Pan troglodytes (chimpanzee)
Lineage: Eukaryota; Metazoa; Chordata; Mammalia; Primates; Hominidae
Description: long non-coding RNA NONPTRT012899
Source: RNAcentral